RNAcentral lists this ribosomal RNA (505 nucleotides) under uncultured bacterium. Its description in RNAcentral is "partial 16S ribosomal RNA". It matches the Rfam family "Bacterial small subunit ribosomal RNA", at positions 28 to 507 of the family's 1533-position model. The record is from RNAcentral.
GAUGAACGCUGGCGGCGUGCCUAAUACAUGCAAGUCGAACGCACAGUUUAUACCCUUGCUUGUUACACCAUAGACUGUGAGUUGUGAAUGGGAGAGUAACGAGCAGGUUAUCUGCCUGGUAGCGGGGGAUAAAUCCUGGAAACGAUAGCUAAUACCGCAUAAUAUUGAUUAUUGAAUGAUAAUUGAUUGUAAGAUGCUAUUGCAUCACUACAUGAUGGACCUGUGUUGUAUUUGCUAGUAGGUGAGGUAACGGCUCAACUAGGCGACGGUACAUAGCCGACCUGAGAGGGGGAUCGGCCACAAUGGGACUGGGGCACGGGCCAAGCUCCUACCGGAGGCAGCAGGAGGGAAUCUUCGGGAAUGGACGAAAGGCUGGCCGGGCAACGCCGCGGUGAGUAAGGAGGGUUUCGGAUCCGAAAGCUCUGUUGAAAAGGAAGAACGAGUGGUGGAGUUGAAAGUGCACACUGUGACGGUAUCUAACCAGAAAGCGACGGCUAACUACGUG